GCGCGUGUAGCUCAGUUGGAUAGAGCGAUGGCCUCCGGAGCCAUAGGUCGUGGGUUCGAGUCCCUCCACGCGCGCCA
RNAcentral lists this transfer RNA (77 nucleotides) under Actinomycetota bacterium. Its description in RNAcentral is "Actinobacteria bacterium tRNA-Arg". It matches the Rfam family "tRNA". From Rfam's summary of the family: Transfer RNA (tRNA) molecules are approximately 80 nucleotides in length. Their secondary structure includes four short double-helical elements and three loops (D, anti-codon, and T loops). Lineage: Bacteria; Bacillati; Actinomycetota. The record is from RNAcentral.